GCUUACGGUCACACUGGCCUGAGUACGCCUGAUCUUGUCCGAUCUCGGAAGCUAAGCAGGGUCGGGCCUGGUUAGUACUUGGAUGGGAGACCGCCUGGGAAUACCAGGUGCUGUAAGCU
Oncorhynchus mykiss (rainbow trout) is the source of this 119-nucleotide ribosomal RNA. The record is from Ensembl. NCBI's taxonomy places the organism in Eukaryota, Metazoa, Chordata, Actinopteri, Salmoniformes, Salmonidae.